CCUACUAGAAAUCUUGCAUUGAUCGCAUCGGAUUUUCGCUUUCCAUCCGGAGAGUGUCGGAAUCCAAAAAAAUAGUGAAAGUCCAUUUGCAUCUAUAAAUUUUUAAAGCAAAUAUAAAUUUUAAGUAUAAAUAUCUACCUAGAAUAUCUACUCUCAUAGAUAAACAAUGUCGGCCUCUAACCCACUAGCCCACAUCCUUGAAACCAAUUGAC
Molecule: long non-coding RNA, 212 nt
Filed under: Elaeis guineensis (African oil palm)
Lineage: Eukaryota; Viridiplantae; Streptophyta; Magnoliopsida; Arecales; Arecaceae
Description: long non-coding RNA (EGUI_LNC038330)
Source: RNAcentral